AUGUGCCUGUUCCGGUCGCGGAGAUUAGAAACCCUUGAGCCAACGACCUAUAAUUGGGAGCCAAGGCCGGAUGGGGCUGACAUGUUCGCCUGAAGGCGAAAAGUCAAAACCAUCCGGGGAGGCACCCACCUUAAAAUACGGGUCUCAAAGGGAAAAUCUCUACGCCGGAACGGGCCUUUU
This 180-nucleotide non-coding RNA is filed under the name Bacillota bacterium. Its description in RNAcentral is "Firmicutes bacterium (hot springs metagenome) 6S RNA". It matches the Rfam family "6S / SsrS RNA". From Rfam's summary of the family: E. coli 6S RNA was the first non coding RNA to be sequenced, but its function was unknown until recently. It consists of 184 nucleotides that fold into an extended hairpin structure with a large single-stranded internal bulge. The 6S RNA specifically associates with RNA polymerase holoenzyme containing the sigma70 specificity factor. Lineage: Bacteria; Bacillati; Bacillota. The record is from RNAcentral.